RNAcentral lists this ribosomal RNA (380 nucleotides) under uncultured eukaryote. RNAcentral describes it as "partial 18S ribosomal RNA". It matches the Rfam family "Eukaryotic small subunit ribosomal RNA", at positions 592 to 976 of the family's 1831-position model. The record is from RNAcentral.
CAAUAGCGUAUAUUAAAGUUGUUGCGGUUAAAAAGCUCGUAGUUGGAUUUCUGCCGAGGACGACCGGUCCGCCCUCUGGGUGUGUAUCUGGUUUGGCCUGGGCAUCUUCUUGGAGAACGUAGCUGCACUUGACUGUGUGGUGCGGUGUCCAGGACUUUUACUUUGAGGAAAUUAGAGUGUUUCAAGCAGGCACACGCCUUGAAUACAUUAGCAUGGAAUAAUAAGAUAGGACCUCGGUUCUAUUUUGUUGGUUUCUAGAGCUGAGGUAAUGAUUAAUAGGGAUAGUUGGGGGCAUUCGUAUUUAACUGUCAGAAGUGAAAUUCUUGGAUUUGUUAAAGACGGACUACUGCGAAAGCAUUUGCCAAGGAUGUUUUCAUUGA